RNAcentral lists this ribosomal RNA (275 nucleotides) under uncultured bacterium. Its description in RNAcentral is "partial 16S ribosomal RNA". It matches the Rfam family "Bacterial small subunit ribosomal RNA", at positions 76 to 354 of the family's 1533-position model. The record is from RNAcentral.
CAAACUUUUGAUGGCGACCGGCGCACGGGUGAGUAACACGUAUCCAACUUGCCUCAUACUCGGGGAUAGCCUUUCGAAAGAAAGAUUAAUACCCGAUGUCAUAGUCCUACCGCAUGAUGGGAUUAUUAAAGAAUUUCGGUAUGGGAUGGGGAUGCGUUCCAUUAGUUAGUUGGCGGGGUAACGGCCCACCAAGACAACGAUGGAUAGGGGUUCUGAGAGGAAGGUCCCCCACAUUGGAACUGAGACACGGUCCAAACUCCUACGGAAGGCAGCAG